CGAAGGAUCCUAGCGUUGUCCGGAUUUACUGGGUUUAAAGGGUGCGUAGGCGGAUUAUUAAGUCAGUGGUGAAAGCCUGCAGCUUAACUGUAGAAUUGCCAUUGAAACUGAUAAUCUCGAGUGUGGUUGAGGUAGCUGGAAUGUAUCAUGUAGCGGUGAAAUGCUUAGAUAUGAUACAGAACACCAAUUGCGAAGGCAGGCUACUAAACCAUAACUGACGCUGAGGCACGAAAGCGUGGGGAUCAAACAGGAUUAGAUACCCUGGUAGUCCACGCCCUAAACGUUGCAUACUCGGUUUUAGCGAUAUACCGUUAGGACCCAAGCGAAAGCGUUAAGUAUGCCACCUGGGAAGUACGAUCGCAAGAUUG
Molecule: ribosomal RNA, 368 nt
Filed under: uncultured organism
Description: bacterial SSU rRNA
Rfam family: Bacterial small subunit ribosomal RNA
Source: RNAcentral